UCGACACUCAACUUGCGGGCCUACACGGACACCGACUGGGCCGGCUGCCCCGACACACGGCGAUCUACCUCGGGGUACUGCGUCUACCUCGGCGACACCCUGAUCUCCUGGUCGUCCAAACGGCAGCCCACCGUCUCCAGAUCGAGCGCCGAGGCUGAGUAUCGCGGCGUCGCCAACGCUGUGGCCGAGUGCAUCUGGCUCCGGCAACUCCUCGGCGAACUCCGGUGCUCCGUCAAGACUGGUGCACUGGUCUACUGCGACAACAUCUCGGCCGUGUACCCCUCCAGCAACCCCAUCCAUCAUCGGCGCACCAAGCAUGUCGAACUCGACAUACAC
RNAcentral lists this ribosomal RNA (336 nucleotides) under Triticum aestivum (bread wheat). RNAcentral's name for it is "partial small subunit ribosomal RNA". Lineage: Eukaryota; Viridiplantae; Streptophyta; Magnoliopsida; Poales; Poaceae. The record is from RNAcentral.